This 396-nucleotide ribosomal RNA is filed under the name uncultured bacterium. RNAcentral's name for it is "bacterial SSU rRNA". It matches the Rfam family "Bacterial small subunit ribosomal RNA", at positions 521 to 916 of the family's 1533-position model. The record is from RNAcentral.
UAAUACAGAGGGUGCUAGCGUUAAUCGGAUUUACUGGGCGUAAAGCGUGUGUAGGUGGUUAUUCAAGUCAGUUGUGAAAUCCCUGGGCUUAACCUGGGAACUGCUUCUGAGACUGAAUGACUAGAGUACGGUAGAGGGUGGUGGAAUUUCCGGUGUAGCGGUGAAAUGCGUAGAUAUCGGAAGGAACAUCAAUGGCGAAGGCAGCCACCUGGGCCUGUACUGACACUGAGACACGAAAGCGUGGGGAUCAAACAGGAUUAGAUACCCUGGUAGUCCACGCCGUAAACGAUGAGAACUUGACGUCGGUUUGCUCUGCAAGUCGGUGUCGUAGCUAACGCGAUAAGUUCUCCGCCUGGGGAGUACGGCCGCAAGGUUGAAACUUAAAUGAAUUGACGG